This 329-nucleotide long non-coding RNA is filed under the name Arabidopsis lyrata. RNAcentral describes it as "long non-coding RNA (ALYR_LNC000775)". Lineage: Eukaryota; Viridiplantae; Streptophyta; Magnoliopsida; Brassicales; Brassicaceae. The record is from RNAcentral.
UAUUUACGCAUGAAAUAUUAAGAAAGAUAAGAAUAACCACAUUCAAAUGAAAAAGAGCGAGAUUGUAUCCGUGUGAAAAUCGGACAGAGGAUCAACCCAUGUAACAACAGUUUGAUAGAGGAAUCCCGUGUUGUGAUGAUUGGUUGGCUUGAAUUGUUCUCUGUAAAAAAAAUAUGUGAGUAUUUGCAUAUGAUGUUUUAAAAAGAAUAAUGAUACUAUAGACUCAAUUUUGAAGCUUACUUACACAUCAGCCAACACCAUGUCCAAGGUCUCACCAAUUCUUGUUGUGUAUGAUUUUCAGGUAUGAAGAACCCUCACUUCAGCUUGCC